CCUACGGGUGGCAGCAGUGAGGAAUAUUGGUCAAUGGACGCGAGUCUGAACCAGCCAAGUAGCGUGAAGGAUGACUGCCCUAUGGGUUGUAAACUUCUUUUAUAUGGGAAUAAAACGUUCCACGUGUGGGGUUUUGUAUGUACCAUAUGAAUAAGGAUCGGCUAACUCCGUGCCAGCAGCCGCGGUAAUACGGAGGAUCCGAGCGUUAUCCGGAUUUAUUGGGUUUAAAGGGAGCGUAGGCGGUUUGAUAAGUCAGUUGUGAAAGUUUGCGGCUCAACCGUAAAAUUGCAGUUGAAACUGGCAGUCUUGAGAACAGUAGAGGUGGGCGGAAUUCGUGGUGUAGCGGUGAAAUGCUUAGAUAUCACGCAGAACUCCGAUUGCGAAGGCAGUUCACUGGACUGCAACUGACACUGAGGCUCGAAAGUGUGGGUAUCAAACAGGAUUAGAUACCCGAGUAGUC
RNAcentral lists this ribosomal RNA (460 nucleotides) under uncultured bacterium. RNAcentral's name for it is "partial 16S ribosomal RNA". It matches the Rfam family "Bacterial small subunit ribosomal RNA", at positions 338 to 795 of the family's 1533-position model. The record is from RNAcentral.